UACGGAGGGUGCAAGCGUUGUCCGGAUUUAUUGGGUUUAAAGGGUGCGUAGGCGGCCCGUUAAGUCAGUGAUGAAAGCCUCCAGCUCAACUGGAGAACUGCCAUUGAUACUGACGGGCUUGAGUACAGACGAGGUUGGCGGAAUUGAUUGUGUAGCGGUGAAAUGCAUAGAUACAAUCAAGAACUCCGAUUGCGUAGGCAGCUAACUAGGCUGUAACUGACGCUGAGGCACGAAAGCGUGGGGAGCGAACAGG
RNAcentral lists this ribosomal RNA (253 nucleotides) under uncultured bacterium. RNAcentral describes it as "partial 16S ribosomal RNA". It matches the Rfam family "Bacterial small subunit ribosomal RNA", at positions 524 to 776 of the family's 1533-position model. The record is from RNAcentral.